Molecule: ribosomal RNA, 468 nt
Filed under: uncultured bacterium
Lineage: Bacteria
Description: partial 16S ribosomal RNA
Rfam family: Bacterial small subunit ribosomal RNA
Source: RNAcentral
GAUGAACGCUGGCGGCGUGCUUAACACAUGCAAGUCGAACGGAAAGGCCGAAGCUUGCUUCGGUACUCGAGUGGCGAACGGGUGAGUAACACGUGGGUGAUCUGCCCUGUACUUCGGGAUAAGCUUGGGAAACUGGGUCUAAUACCGGAUAUGACGAUCUCUUGGAUGGGGUUGUGGAAAGCUUUUGCGGUAUGGGAUGAGCUCGCGGCCUAUCAGCUUGUUGGUGGGGUAAUGGCCUACCAAGGCGUCGACGGGUAGCCGGCCUGAGGGGGUGUACGGCCACAUUGGGACUGAGAUACGGCCCAGACUCCUACGGGAGGCAGCAGUGGGGAAUAUUGCACAAUGGGCGCAAGCCUGAUGCAGCGACGCCGCGUGGGGGAUGACGGCCUUCGGGUUGUAAACUCCUUUCGCAAUCGACGAAGCCUUUUGGUGACGGUAGGUUGAGAAGAAGCACCGGCUAACUACGUG